CAGCAGGAUCCAUUUCCUGAAGCUGAUGAUGAUGUCACAUACAGCACUGUCAUCCUCCAGCACAAGACCCAACUAAAAGGACAGACCAAGUCAGCAGAACCAGAUGAUAAUGUGGUCUACAGCUCACUAGCUCUACAGGUGACCACACAGAGGGCAGCAGCAGCACAAUAGUGACUGACUGAGAAGACCUUCCUUUUACUGGAAGGACAGAACACUCCCCUCUCCUGUGUCACAACAUCUAUCUGCCUCCAAUAUGAUUCUGUCAUACCUCUUAACCCAUCCCAGGAAGACACCUCUAUCCUUUAGUGUAAUAAACUACUGAAGAC
Long non-coding RNA from Oncorhynchus kisutch (coho salmon), 326 nucleotides. RefSeq lists it as uncharacterized. NCBI's taxonomy places the organism in Eukaryota, Metazoa, Chordata, Actinopteri, Salmoniformes, Salmonidae. The transcript is spliced from 3 exons. The record is from RefSeq and is a predicted model, not a curated record.